This 262-nucleotide long non-coding RNA is filed under the name Elaeis guineensis (African oil palm). Its description in RNAcentral is "long non-coding RNA (EGUI_LNC031983)". The record is from RNAcentral. Lineage: Eukaryota; Viridiplantae; Streptophyta; Magnoliopsida; Arecales; Arecaceae.
UGACGUUUUAAUUGAUAUACUACCAUUUUACAAUUGAUAGAGAAAAGCAAAAUUCCCAUAAAUCAUGCAAGAUUUCCUUCCCAAAAAGAAUUUCAAUGCAGAUUGAUUUGACACAUUUCAUGAGGAAUAUGCAAAGGAUUUACUUAGUAGAGGAUGCAUGAUAAGUGUAGGCUAAAGUGUACUCACAAGUUCUGUCACACCCCGAACCCAUCAUCUAGGUUGAUCAUAUGACACGGCUGCAUAAACCCUUAGACAAUCCCAG